Molecule: ribosomal RNA, 374 nt
Filed under: Streptococcus pneumoniae
Lineage: Bacteria; Bacillati; Bacillota; Bacilli; Lactobacillales; Streptococcaceae
Description: bacterial SSU rRNA
Rfam family: Bacterial small subunit ribosomal RNA
Source: RNAcentral
UUUUAAUGAGAGUUUGAUCCUGGCUCAGGACGAACGCUGGCGGCGUGCCUAAUACAUGCAAGUAGAACGCUGAAGGAGGAGCUUGCUUCUCUGGAUGAGUUGCGAACGGGUGAGUAACGCGUAGGUAACCUGCCUGGUAGCGGGGGAUAACUAUUGGAAACGAUAGCUAAUACCGCAUAAGAGUAGAUGUUGCAUGACAUUUGCUUAAAAGGUGCACUUGCAUCACUACCAGAUGGACCUGCGUUGUAUUAGCUAGUUGGUGGGGUAACGGCUCACCAAGGCGACGAUACAUAGCCGACCUGAGAGGGUGAUCGGCCACACUGGGACUGAGACACGGCCCAGACUCCUACGGGAGGCAGCAGUAGGGAAUCUUC